AAGAUAGUUUACUAUUUUGGUGGCGACCGGCGCACGGGUGAGUAACGCGUAUGCAACCUACCUUAUACAGGAGUAUAGCCCGAAGAAAUUCGGAUUAAUCCUCCAUAGUAUUUUCUAAUGGCAUCAUUUGGAAAAUUAAAGCUUCGGCGGUAUAAGAUGGGCAUGCGUCCUAUUAGCUAGAUGGUAAGGUAAUGGCUUACCAUGGCAACGAUAGGUAGGGGGCCUGAGAGGGUGAUCCCCCACACUGGUACUGAGACACGGACCAGACUCCUACGGGAGGCAGCAGUGAGGAAUAUUGGGCAAUGGAGGCAACUCUGACCCAGCCAUGCCGCGUGCAGGAAGAAUGCCCUAUGGGUUGUAAACUGCUUUUAUUUAGGAAUAAACCCCUCUACGUGUAGAGGGCUGAAUGUACUAAACGAAUAAGCACCGGCUAACUCCGUGCCAGCAGCCGCGGUAAUACGGAGGGUGCAAGCGUUAUCCGGAAUCAUUGGGUUUAAAGGGUCCGCAGGCGGAUGUAUAAGUCAGUGGUGAAAUCCUGCAGCUUAACUGCAGAACUGCCAUUGAUACUGUACAUCUUGAAUUCGGUCGAAGUGGGCGGAAUGUGUAGUGUAGCGGUGAAAUGCAUAGAUAUUACACAGAACACCGAUAGCGAAGGCAGCUCACUAGGCCUGGAUUGACGCUCAGGGACGAAAGCGUGGGGAUCAAACAGGAUUAGAUACCCUGGUAGUCCACGCUGUAAACGAUGAUUACUCGUUUUCGGCGAUAUACAGUCGGAGACUAAGCGAAAGUGAUAAGUAAUCCACCUGGGGAGUACGAUCGCAAGGUUGAAACUCAAAGGAAUUGACGGGGGCCCGCACAAGCGGUGGAGCAUGUGGUUUAAUUCGAUGAUACGCGAGGAACCUUUCCAGGGCUUAAAUGCAAAGCGA
RNAcentral lists this ribosomal RNA (926 nucleotides) under uncultured marine bacterium. RNAcentral describes it as "bacterial SSU rRNA". It matches the Rfam family "Bacterial small subunit ribosomal RNA", at positions 72 to 995 of the family's 1533-position model. The record is from RNAcentral.